Pelobates cultripes (western spadefoot toad) is the source of this 767-nucleotide non-coding RNA. The record is from the annotation of a GenBank genome assembly. NCBI's taxonomy places the organism in Eukaryota, Metazoa, Chordata, Amphibia, Anura, Pelobatidae.
CUUUCACAUGCCUUGACCAAGAUACAUGCCCAAGUGUUUUCUUCUAUUCCAGAUCCUGAGUCGAAUACAGGUACACACAAGCUGCUUCCGGGUGAUUGGGUUAUGGUUAAGAAGUUCCUCAGAAAACACACCCUAGAACCGAGAUUUGAUGGUCCUUAUCAAGUGCUCCUGAUUACAGCAACGUCAGUUAAACUAGCUGGGAAAAGUUCCUGGAUACACGCUUCACAUUGCAAAAAAGUGCCUGCUCCAGAAGAAGCUGAUCCUGUUGAAACAUGAAUUUAUUAUGUGUCUUGUGUUUUCUUAUGUUGUUGCACUUUGCCUGGGCCCAACAAGUGGCCAUAACCAAAGAUAAUCAUGUUUACACUUUCUGGUACAAUUCUUCUAAUACUGAUGUAGCCACAUACACCUUUGAUUACUGUGACAUAGUUACCUGUACAUUCCCACAGACACAACAUGCAGCCAUAUUCAAAGACAUACCUAACAAAAAGGACCCAUACAUUUGUGUGACUGGAGGAGCUUGGGGACACCAUUGUAGUUCAUGGAAAGCUGCCGGGUGGAAUACAGGUAGACCAUGGGGCUACAGACCUCAGGUUGCACUGGACAGACUUGACAAAGACGGGAAGCCCCUACUUUCUAGAAUGACUCUGAGUAAACCCACAGGGUCAACUCCCAUUAAACUUACCCUGAAUAUAGAACACCCUAGUCCAAGGGACGCGGGGGAAUAUGUGAUGGGGAUGUACUGGAAGGGAGGUGGCUCACAUAAUGCA